This is a non-coding RNA of Osmia lignaria (orchard mason bee), 445 nucleotides long. NCBI's taxonomy places the organism in Eukaryota, Metazoa, Arthropoda, Insecta, Hymenoptera, Megachilidae. The record is from RefSeq and is a predicted model, not a curated record.
AUUGCUUCAGAUUCACGCGUCUGUGGAAGCGGUGGUGGUGGAGGUGGGGCACCAUGAUCCUAUGGAAAUAAAGGCGCUGGUGUUGGCUUUACUGGACAAACUGGAGAAUUUUUAGGCGAAUUUGAUUUUCCUUCGCUACUUUCACUUGUCCUAAUACAGGAACCGGCGGCUGCUUUUGCCAUCUCCUUAUUUCUAUUGAAACGUGAACGCAACAUAUCCAAUUCUCGUUGCCUUUCCAAAUAAGUGUUGCGUAAAAUAUUAUUCUCCAGUUCUUGGGUGUUUAAACCUUGUUCAAACUUUUCUCGACGAGCAUACACAGCACUGCUAGGAAUAUCAGCUUUAGAUUGCCCCUUUCCUACAAAAGAAUCUUUAAAUACAAACAAAUAUUUACCCUUCAUCUAUCGAUGAAACUCAAUUAAAUUAUACUUAUAUUUAUAGAAAAAAA